RNAcentral lists this non-coding RNA (65 nucleotides) under Erwinia tracheiphila. The record is from RNAcentral. Lineage: Bacteria; Pseudomonadati; Pseudomonadota; Gammaproteobacteria; Enterobacterales; Erwiniaceae.
AAGAGCGCGACAUUGCUCACAUUGCUUCCAGUAUUUUUCGGCCCGCCUUGCGCGGGCUUUUUUUU